RNAcentral lists this unclassified non-coding RNA (326 nucleotides) under soil metagenome. RNAcentral describes it as "partial contains 5.8S ribosomal RNA, internal transcribed spacer 2, and large subunit ribosomal RNA". The stretch from base 1 to 120 matches the Rfam family "5.8S ribosomal RNA", at positions 35 to 154 of the family's 154-position model. The record is from RNAcentral.
GAUGAAGAACGCAGCGAAAUGCGAUAAGUAAUGUGAAUUGCAGAAUUCAGUGAAUCAUCGAAUCUUUGAACGCACAUUGCGCCCUUUGGUAUUCCGAAGGGCAUGCCUGUUCGAGCGUCAUUUCACCACUCAAGCCUGGCUUGGUAUUGGGCGCCGCGGUCGAUCCGCGCGCCUCAAAGUCUCCGGCUGAGCUGUCCGUCUCUAAGCGUUGUGAUUUCAUUAAUCGCUUCGGAGUGCGGGCGGCCGCGGCCGUUAAAUCUUUCACAAGGUUGACCUCGGAUCAGGUAGGGAUACCCGCUGAACUUAAGCAUAUCAAUAAGCGGAGG